AACGAACGCUGGCGGCAUGCCUAACACAUGCAAGUCGAACGAGCCCUUCGGGGUUAGUGGCGCACGGGUGCGUAACGCGUGGGAAUCUGCCCUUGGGUUCGGAAUAACAGUGAGAAAUUACUGCUAAUACCGGCUGAUGUCUUCGGACCAAAGAUUUAUUGCCCAGGGAUGAGCCCGCGUAGGAUUAGCUAGUUGGUGGGGUAAUGGCCUACCAAGGCGACGAUCCUUAGCUGGUCUGAGAGGAUGAUCAGCCACACUGGGACUGAGGCACGGCCCAGACUCCUACGGGAGGCAACAGUGGGGAAUAUUGGACAGUGGGCGCAAGCCUGAUCCAGCAAUGCCGCGUGAGUGAUGAAGGCCUUAGGGUUGUAAAGCUCUUUUACCCGGGAUGAUAAUUACAGUACCGGGAGAAUAAGCUCCGGCUAACUCCGUGCCAGCAGCCGCGGUAA
This 449-nucleotide ribosomal RNA is filed under the name uncultured bacterium. RNAcentral describes it as "partial 16S ribosomal RNA". It matches the Rfam family "Bacterial small subunit ribosomal RNA", at positions 29 to 523 of the family's 1533-position model. The record is from RNAcentral.